This is a long non-coding RNA of Biomphalaria glabrata, 732 nucleotides long. RefSeq lists it as uncharacterized. The transcript is spliced from 5 exons. The record is from RefSeq and is a predicted model, not a curated record. Lineage: Eukaryota; Metazoa; Mollusca; Gastropoda; Planorbidae.
AGGGUUAUCGUUCUUUUCAAGAUUCAAUUAAUAUUAGUCUGUUACAUCAGGCUGCGGAUGUCCGUUAACUAUCACUCAAACUAGGCUCUGAUAAACUAAGUGAUUUGGUUACAAGCAGCGUUUCACUAUUUGUUUUACAUAUAUACUUAUACUAAAUACAUUUUAGUGCUGUUUUUAAAUAGUGUACCGGUUUAGAAAAAACAAGUUUGGAUUACAUAGUCAAGAAACAAGCUCUGCAGAACUAACCGAGGAGAUCGUAGAUUCAACCUGAAGUAAAGCCCAAGAUUGAACUAUUUUCUCAAAGACAUCCCACUUCCAAGCGUUGGGCGUUGUGUUCUUUGGGUGACUUCAUGUAAACAUUGACAUUUUUUUCUGCUUUGAUUGAAGCACGUGCAGGUUCUGUCCUCCUGGGUUUAAACCUAAACUAAGGACUUGAUAGAAACAAUUCUCAUGAACGACACAUUAAAUAAAGUCUACUAUCUUUCAAAAAUGAGAUUGUUAGUGCCUCACUUUGGCGAGCACUUCCAGGUAGAAGAAACUAGAUUACUUUGGAUAGUCUACAGCAGACCAAAAGUAUCACGACCCACGCAUCAGAAAGACAAGCACUUUAGCAAUAAUAAGAAUUUCUCACUUUUCACACAAAGCGUCGCGCUCCAGAAAUAGUAGUUCAAGGGGAGGAACUGUACAAAAUUAUACAUUUCUUCUCAGCUUAUCAGUUUUCUCCCUUUUGAA